This 225-nucleotide ribosomal RNA is filed under the name uncultured bacterium. RNAcentral's name for it is "partial 16S ribosomal RNA". It matches the Rfam family "Bacterial small subunit ribosomal RNA", at positions 524 to 747 of the family's 1533-position model. The record is from RNAcentral.
UACGUAGGGUGCAAGCGUUAAUCGGAAUUACUGGGCGUAAAGCGUGCGCAGGCGGUUAUGUAAGACAGAUGUGAAAUGCCCGGGCUUAACCUGGGAACUGCAUUUGUGACUGCAUGGCUAGAGUUUGGCAGAGGGGGGGUAGAAUUCCACGUGUAGCAGUGAAAUGCGUAGAUAUGUGGAGGAACACCGAUGGCGAAGGCAGCCCCCUGGGUCAAGACUGACGCU